GACGAACGCUGGCGGCGUGCCUAACACAUGCAAGUCGAGCGGAGACAGUGAGUAGCUUGCUAUGAGCUGUUUUAGCGGCGGACGGGUGAGUAACGCGUGAGCAACCUUUCCCAGACAGGGGAAUAACACACCGAAAGGUGUACUAAUACCGCAUAAGACCACGGAAUCACAUGGUUCUGAGGUAAAAGAUUUAUCGGUUUGGGGUGGGCUCGCGUCCGAUUAGGUUGUUGGCGGGGUAACGGCCCACCAAGCCUUCGAUGGAUAGGGGUUCUGAGAGGAAGGUCCCCCACAUUGGAACUGAGACACGGUCCAAACUCCUACGGGAGGCAGCAGUGAGGAAUAUUGGUCAAUGGACGAGAGUCUGAACCAGCCAAGUAGCGUGAAGGAUGACUGCCCUAUGGGUUGUAAACUUCUUUUAUACGGGAAUAAAGUGAGGCACGUGUGCCUUUUUGUAUGUACCGUAUGAAUAAGGAUCGGCUAACUCCGUGCCAGCAGCCGCGGUAAUACGGAGGAUCCGAGCGUUAUCCGGAUUUAUUGGGUUUAAAGGGAGCGUAGGCGGACGCUUAAGUCAGUUGUGAAAGUUUGCGGCUCAACCGUAAAAUUGCAGUUGAUACUGGGUGUCUUGAGUACAGUAGAGGCAGGCGGAAUUCGUGGUGUAGCGGUGAAAUGCUUAGAUAUCACGAAGAACUCCGAUUGCGAAGGCAGCUUGCUGGACUGUAACUGACGCUGAUGCUCGAAAGUGUGGGUAUCAAACAGGAUUAGAUACCCUGGUAGUCCACACAGUAAACGAUGAAUACUCGCUGUUUGCGAUAUACAGUAAGCGGCCAAGCGAAAGCGUUAAGUAUUCCACCUGGGGAGUACGCCGGCAACGGUGAAACUCAAAGGAAUUGACGGGGGCCCGCACAAGCGGAGGAACAUGUGGUUUAAUUCGAUGAUACGCGAGGAACCUUACCCGGGCUUGAAUUGCAACUGAAUGAUGUGGAGACAUGUCAGCCGCAAGGCAGUUGUGAAGGUGCUGCAUGGUUGUCGUCAGCUCGUGCCGUGAGGUGUCGGCUUAAGUGCCAUAACGAGCGCAACCCUUAUCGAUAGUUACCAUCAGGUUAUGCUGGGGACUCUGUCGAGACUGCCGUCGUAAGAUGUGAGGAAGGUGGGGAUGACGUCAAAUCAGCACGGCCCUUACGUCCGGGGCUACACACGUGUUACAAUGGGGGGUACAGAAGGCAGCUACACGGCGACGUGAUGCUAAUCCCGAAAGCCUCUCUCAGUUCGGAUUGGAGUCUGCAACCCGACUCCAUGAAGCUGGAUUCGCUAGUAAUCGCGCAUCAGCCACGGCGCGGUGAAAUACGUUUCCCGGGCCU
RNAcentral lists this ribosomal RNA (1358 nucleotides) under uncultured bacterium. Its description in RNAcentral is "bacterial SSU rRNA". It matches the Rfam family "Bacterial small subunit ribosomal RNA", at positions 28 to 1381 of the family's 1533-position model. The record is from RNAcentral.